GGGCCGUUAGCUCAGUGGAUAGAGCGCCCGCCUUCUAAGCGGGCGGUCGCGAGUUCAAAUCUCGCACGGCCCA
This 73-nucleotide transfer RNA is filed under the name Chloroflexota bacterium. Its description in RNAcentral is "Chloroflexi bacterium tRNA-Arg". It matches the Rfam family "tRNA". Rfam says of the family: Transfer RNA (tRNA) molecules are approximately 80 nucleotides in length. The record is from RNAcentral. RNAcentral also lists the same sequence under 1 other name. Lineage: Bacteria; Bacillati; Chloroflexota.